AGGGGUGUAGCUCAAUUGGCAGAGCGCUGGUCUCCAAAACCAGAGGUUGUGGGUUCGAUUCCCCCCGCCCCUGCCA
This 76-nucleotide transfer RNA is filed under the name Rhizobacter gummiphilus. RNAcentral describes it as "tRNA-Trp". It matches the Rfam family "tRNA". From Rfam's summary of the family: Transfer RNA (tRNA) molecules are approximately 80 nucleotides in length. Their secondary structure includes four short double-helical elements and three loops (D, anti-codon, and T loops). Lineage: Bacteria; Pseudomonadati; Pseudomonadota; Betaproteobacteria; Burkholderiales; Sphaerotilaceae. RNAcentral also lists the same sequence under 4 other names. The record is from RNAcentral.